GACGAACGCUGGCGGCGUGCUUAACACAUGCAAGUCGAACGGAAAGGCCCUGCUUUUGUGGGGUGCUCGAGUGGCGAACGGGUGAGUAACACGUGAGUAACCUGCCCUUGACUUUGGGAUAACUUCAGGAAACUGGGGCUAAUACCGGAUAGGAGCUCCUGCUGCAUGGUGGGGGUUGGAAAGUUUCGGCGGUUGGGGAUGGACUCGCGGCUUAUCAGCUUGUUGGUGGGGUAGUGGCUUACCAAGGCUUUGACGGGUAGCCGGCCUGAGAGGGUGACCGGCCACAUUGGGACUGAGAUACGGCCCACACUCCUACGCGAGGCAGCAGUGGGGAAUAUUGCCCAAUGAGCGGAAGCCCGAUGCAGCAACGCCGCGUGCGGGAUGACGGCAUUCGGGUUGUACACCGCUUUCGCCUGUGACGAAGCGUGAGUGACGGUAAUGGGUAAAGAAGCACCGGCUAACUACGUG
RNAcentral lists this ribosomal RNA (468 nucleotides) under uncultured bacterium. Its description in RNAcentral is "partial 16S ribosomal RNA". It matches the Rfam family "Bacterial small subunit ribosomal RNA", at positions 28 to 507 of the family's 1533-position model. The record is from RNAcentral.